GAUUACUUCGUCCACAUUAUAUUUCAACCUUUCAAAUCUAUCUCAUGGAUUACCCUAGCCAAAGCUUUACUAAAUUAAAAUAUAGCGAUACAUUAACUCCAAUAAUUUCAUCUUGAUCCACACACAGACUUCACAAGUACUUGACUGUACCCAGUAGUCUUCCGUCACUGCAUUAGAAAUCCAGAUAGUCCAAUACCAAAGCACAAUAAGUUGCUUGCAAGUCACUAUGAUGAUCUC
RNAcentral lists this long non-coding RNA (237 nucleotides) under Elaeis guineensis (African oil palm). RNAcentral's name for it is "long non-coding RNA (EGUI_LNC038555)". The record is from RNAcentral. Lineage: Eukaryota; Viridiplantae; Streptophyta; Magnoliopsida; Arecales; Arecaceae.